CACCCCCUCUCUCUCUCUCUCCCAACUGCGUCUACUCCACCUCUAGCGUAUCUCCUCCACUUCCUACCGUUUGGCUCUCGUUCCUACCGUCGUCGGGCCUCCACCAAUAGUGGUAGCCGCCUACGUUGCCAAUGAGCUAAAAGAUGAAGGAGCUGCCGACGAGCUCGAAGACGAAUGAAACCGAUCGCCGGCGAGCUCGAAGAGGAAGGAACCGCCUACGCGAGCUCGCCUACAUCGGUGGUUGGUGCUCGAUGCGCCGUCGAUUGAGAUGUCCGAUUUCCCACUGCCGCCGUCGAAUCGUCACAAGGUUUGCGGUUUUAGAAGUUCGAUUGCUGCGUUUUGAAUCCUUCACCUGUGAUACGGACAUGGAACCAUCGCUCUGUAGUUCGUCAAUAUAGACUCCAUUCUAAGACUGACCUGAGGUUCCAAAGCCAUGCAGUCUUGGCAUUGCAGGAGGCAACAGAGACAUAACUUGUUGGGUUGUUUGAAGAUACCAAUCUCUAUACAAUUCAUGCAAAGCAUCACCAUUAUGCCUAAAGACAUUCAGCUUGCAAGGAGAAUUAGGGGGGGGGGGGGGGGGGGGAGAGGGCUUAGUAGCGUGUAGGUGGUGAGGCUAUGUGAGGUAAAGUUAAUUGUUCUUAUUGAUCUUAAUGGGAACCUUUCUAGCUGUGUUUUCUUUGUUAAAACAAUAUAGUUAUGUUGUCCUUCCCUGUGGAAACUAAAAGUUUGAUGCAAUGGUUUCGGAUUAUGUACAUAAGAUUAUAUGCCUUGA
This is a long non-coding RNA of Diospyros lotus (date-plum), 772 nucleotides long. RefSeq lists it as uncharacterized. The record is from RefSeq and is a predicted model, not a curated record. The transcript is spliced from 3 exons. NCBI's taxonomy places the organism in Eukaryota, Viridiplantae, Streptophyta, Magnoliopsida, Ericales, Ebenaceae.